AGAGUUUGAUCCUGGUAGAUUGAACGCUGGCGGAAUGCUUUACACAUGCAAGUCGAACGGCAGCACGGGAGCUUGCUCCUGGUGGCGAGUGGCGAACGGGUGAGUAACACGUAGGCAACCUGCCUGUAAGACUGGGAUAACCCGUGGAAACAUGAGCUAAUACCAGAUAGAUGGAUAUCUCGCAUGGGAGAUUCAGGAAAGAGGGGGCAACCUCUCACUUACAGAUGGGCCUGCGGCGCAUUAGCUAGUUGGUGGGGUAGAGGCUCACCAAGGCGACGAUGCGUAGCCGACCUGAGAGGGUGAUCGGCCACACUGGGACUGAGACACGGCCCAGACUCCUACGGGAGGCAGCAGUAGGGAAUCUUCCGCAAUGGACGAAAGUCUGACGGAGCAACGCCGCGUGAGCGAAGAAGGUUUUCGGAUCGUAAAGCUCUGUUGCCAGGGAAGAAAACUUAGGAGAGUAACUGCUCUUAAGGUGACGGUACCUGAGAAGAAAGCCCCGGCUAACUACGUGCCAGCAGCCGCGGUAAUACGUAGGGGGCAAGCGUUGUCCGGAAUUAUUGGGCGUAAGCGCGCGCAGGCGGCCCAGUCAGUCUGAUGUAUAAGCCCGAGGCUCAACCUCGGUUCGCAUGAGAAACUGCUGAGCUAGAGUGCAGGAGAGGAAAGCGGAAUUCCACGUGUAGCGGUGAAAUGCGUAGAGAUGUGGAGGAACACCAGUGGCGAAGGCG
Molecule: ribosomal RNA, 728 nt
Filed under: uncultured bacterium
Lineage: Bacteria
Description: bacterial SSU rRNA
Rfam family: Bacterial small subunit ribosomal RNA
Source: RNAcentral